UACGAAGGGGGCUAGCGUUGCUCGGAAUCACUGGGCGUAAAGGGCGCGUAGGCGGAUCUUUAAGUCGGGGGUGAAAGCCCAGGGCUCAACCCUGGAAUGGCCUUCGAUACUGGAGAUCUUGAGACCGGAAGAGGUAAGUGGAACUGCGAGUGUAGAGGUGAAAUUCGUAGAUAUUCGCAAGAACACCGGUGGCGAAGGCGGCAUCCUGGGCCGGUAUUGACGCUGAGGAGCGAAAGCCAGGGGAGCAAACGGG
This 253-nucleotide ribosomal RNA is filed under the name uncultured bacterium. RNAcentral describes it as "partial 16S ribosomal RNA". It matches the Rfam family "Bacterial small subunit ribosomal RNA", at positions 524 to 776 of the family's 1533-position model. The record is from RNAcentral.